AGUGAACGCUGUCGGUAGGCCUAACACAUGCAAGUCGAACGGCAGCACAGUAAGAGCUUGCUCUUACGGGUGGCGAGUGGCGGACGGGUGAGGAAUACAUCGGAAUCUACUUUUUCGUGGGGGAUAACGUAGGGAAACUUACGCUAAUACCGCAUACGACCUACGGGUGAAAGCAGGGGAUCUUCGGACCUUGCGCGAUUGAAUGAGCCGAUGUCGGAUUAGCUAGUUGGCGGGGUAAAGGCCCACCAAGGCGACGAUCCGUAGCUGGUCUGAGAGGAUGAUCAGCCACACUGGAACUGAGACACGGUCCAGACUCCUACGGGAGGCAGCAGUGGGGAAUAUUGGACAAUGGGCGCAAGCCUGAUCCAGCCAUACCGCGUGGGUGAAGAAGGCCUUCGGGUUGUAAAGCCCUUUUGUUGGGAAAGAAAAGCAGCAGGUUAAUACCCCGCUGUUCUGACGGUACCCAAAGAAUAAGCACCGGCUAACCUCGUG
Molecule: ribosomal RNA, 492 nt
Filed under: uncultured bacterium
Lineage: Bacteria
Description: partial 16S ribosomal RNA
Rfam family: Bacterial small subunit ribosomal RNA
Source: RNAcentral